AAGAUAUCAGGGAAAGCCAAAAAUUUGUGAGAUUCAUCAACGCCAUCUCAUUGACGGAAGAAUACACAAGCUCAAGAUGCAACUUUAAGUUAUUACGACCCAAAAAUUGGACCUCAAGAGACGCUUGUUUAGAAAAAGAUAAAUAUCUGGAGCCCACUCCAUUUGAAGACGUCCUCAAGAGCAAAGCGCUUAACCUGACCAAGGUGUGCCAUAUUAUAUCGCCGCUCACGAUUUUAUUAAUUUAAAUAAUUUCCUUUAUUAUCAAG
Cloeon dipterum is the source of this 266-nucleotide long non-coding RNA. RefSeq lists it as uncharacterized. The record is from RefSeq and is a predicted model, not a curated record. The transcript has 3 exons. Lineage: Eukaryota; Metazoa; Arthropoda; Insecta; Ephemeroptera; Baetidae.